Long non-coding RNA from Scylla paramamosain (green mud crab), 804 nucleotides. RefSeq lists it as uncharacterized. The transcript has 2 exons. The record is from RefSeq and is a predicted model, not a curated record. Lineage: Eukaryota; Metazoa; Arthropoda; Malacostraca; Decapoda; Portunidae.
UACGAACACACUGAACGCGUGAAAGGCGCGAGCGGGCGUCAGAGCGAGCGAGAGUCAAAGAGUCAAAGCGUCAAAAUGUGAGGGUGUGUACUCGUACACUGAGUCCGGUGCGAGCGUCAAAUAGGCCGCUUCAUUGAUGGGAGAACUUUAGUUCGUUGUCAUCUUUCGAGGCGUGUGGUCUGUUUUGUUGUUCCUCCUAAUCAGUUCAUCCCAAAUUCAAAAUGAAUGUUAAAAGUAAUAGGAAGCGUGCAUUAUUGCUGUUAUUGAGUGAAACUAGUCCGGCUGUCCCAUCUUCAUCCAGCAUGUGGGUCCAUCCCAUCAAUAAGGAGCGCGAGACCCAUGGGGAAUAUCAUCAUUUGAUGCCACAACUGAGAAACGACCCCCCAAAAUUCAAAGAAUAUUUCAGGAUGUCAGCUGAAACCUUUGACUAUAUAUUGGAACUUAUUUCUCCAGUCAUCUACAAGCAAACAACCAACUUAAGAAAACCCGUAUCCCCAGAGGAAAGGCUUUCUGUGACAUUAAGAUUCCUGGCGACUGGGCUGUCGUUUAGAGGACUCGCCUUCACAUUCCGCAUGGGAGUGACAACUGUGCGAAUGAUCGUGCUAGAAACAUGCGACGCACUCUGGAAGAUAUUGCAAUCUACGCAUAUGCCGGUGCCGGAUGCUCAAAUUUGCAAACAUGCUGCAGAGGAAUAUUGGACGAAGUGGAAUUUCCCAAAUUGCUUCGGCUCAAUUGAUGGCAAGCACAUCCGUAUCCAGUGUCCCACCAAAUCCGGUUCCCAGUAUUAUAAUUACAAACAAUUUU